UCAUUCAUUCAUGUAUAAUUUUCGUUCUUAAUCUGUUUCCAGAGAGAGAGAGAUGGGAAUGGAUCAGUCAAAUUCCACGCCAGCCGCGUUGUUGAUCUCUCGCAAGUCGCAGCACAGCAAUAAUUAUUGAUUUGAAUAUUCAAUUCAUCAUUCACGACUCGGUCGUUCAUUCCAUUUUCCGGUCUUCUCCUUCAUCAGGUCGUAUUUCAAUUUUCCUUGUUAAUAAUGGUAUCUUCAAGUUCAGUUCCAAUCAAUUGCCAAGGUUGAAAGUUGAAUUCAUUUAUUAUUUGAUUGAUCUGUGUAUGUGUGUGAAUUUUGCAUUCAGAGGUCCUUUUUCAGCUGGCUUCUGUGUGUGUUCGAGUAAGGUUUUAGGAGGAGUUAAUUACUUCGUUGCGUUUGAUUAGAGAUGACUAGCGUUUGGAGAAAUUUGCUGCCUGUUUCCGUGCCGAAGACCGGCGAGGAUCGCGACGACGAUUAUAGUGUCGAGUACUCCUUCGCUGUCGAAUACAGCGGUCCUCCGGUGACUGGCGAUAUUCCUCGAUUGAUUCCGAUCGACGACCGACGGAUUCCGACGGCGUUGGUGGCUAAUCUCUUUGGUGGUCAGUUGAGGAAGUCGUCUCUGCCGGUUAUUCAACCGAUUGAGAGAAAGAGCGCUCGAUCGAACAAAAAGUCGCCGGAAAAAGGAGAAGUUUCCGGCUCCGACGGUCGGUUUCCGCUGACUAAACCACGCGAAAUUGGGAAUUCUGGAAAGCUUAAUUCCGGAAAAUCUGACGGUUAUUCUGAUCGGGAUGGCGCAUUGGACGUAGCAGUUAGGGUUGGUAGUGAAUCCAGUAAACUUGUCGGCGCUCAAAGUUCUAGUAGUUCAGGUACGUUAGGGUUUUCCGACGGUCAUGAUGACUCCAAUCAGGUCUCCGGAAGCUCCGAGGUCGAGGACUUGGACGACGACGCUAGGGCUCGUGCGUCCAUUGAGUCUUCAAAUGAAGAAGUGCGCAGCCGUGCAAGUUCAGUUACCGGCGAACCUAAUAACAGAGUGCCUGUGGUAACUUUUCGCGAUUUUCCCACGAAUGAAUCCGGCGAAAGUGAUCCUGACGAGCUUGAGGCAUUGCCGGCGAGGAGACCAGAGGCUGCAGGUGAAAUGAAGAAAGGUUUGUGCAAUAAGUGCAACAAAAAGAACAGAUUCGCAGAGAGGGAAGUAUGCGUUGUUUGCAGUGCAAAGUAUUGCAGAAAAUGUGUGCUCAGAGCAAUGGGGUCUAUGCCGGAAGGGAGAAAGUGCAUUACCUGUAUUGGUUAUCCGAUUGACGAGUCGAACAGAGGAUCGCUCGGGAGAUGUUCGAGAAUGCUGAAGAGGAUGCUCACCAACGAUUUGAUCAAGCAAAUCAUGAGGGCUGAGACGUCGUGCGAAAUCAACCAGCUGCCGCCGCAUCUCAUCUCUGUAAAUGAUAAACCUCUGUCCAUGGAAGAGCUGGUUAUGUUGCAGAGCUGCCCCAAUCCUCCGAAGAAGCUUAGACCUGGGAAUUAUUGGUACGACAAAGUUUCUGGAUUUUGGGGGAAGGUUGGAGAGAAGCCAAGCCAGAUUAUCACAGCUCAAUUGUCUGUGGGUUAUCAAAUUCUGAGAGAUGCUAGCAACGGCAACACGAAUGUGCUGAUAAACAGCAGGGAAAUAACCAAACCAGAGCUGUGGAUGUUGCAGGCUGCAGGCAUCCAUUGCGAAGGGAGCCCGCACUUUUGGAUCACGGCCGAUGGAUCGUGUCAGCUUGAAGGCAUGAAUUAUGUGAUUGGAAAAUUGUGGGGGAAGAAAAGGGUCAGAAUUUUAUGUGCUGCUCUAUCCCUACCAUUUCCAUCUGAUAUUCCGAAUCCUGGUGAAGGUGUCGAUAAAGAUUGUAAUAAUUUGAAUCAAAAGAACCUCGAACAGGGCGCGAUGAACAGAUUUCUCCUAGUAGGCUGCGAUAAAUCAGGAACGAGCACUAUAUACAAGCAGGCAAGGGUUCUGUAUGGCGUUCCUUUCUCAGAUGAGGAGAAGCAAAGCAUCAAAACCAUAAUCCAACGAAAUCUGUACAGAUACAUUGCCAUUAUACUCGAGGCACGAGGAUAUUUAGAAGAAGAAGAUCAACCAUUAGAAAUAAGGAGGAAAAGAAUAGUGGAUCCCGGGCCUUCGACAUCAGGGAAUUCAGACCAUAUGAUUGAUAAUAAGGUCUACACAUUCAGUCCGCGGCUCGAAGCCUUUGCAAGCUGGCUACUUCAAGUUAUGACGUUAGGCAACUUGGAGGCCAUAUUCCCGGCUGCCACACGAGAGUAUUCGCCUUUAGUCGAGGAGCUGUGGAAAGAUAAAGCUUUUCAAGCUAUUUACAAAAGGAGAAACGAACUGAAUACGCUGCCUAGAGUCGCCAACUAUUUCCUGGAUCGGGCUGUUGAAAUUUCGCGAGUAGAAUACGAGCCCUCUGAAAUGGAUAUCCUGUACGCCGAGGGCAUAACUUCCGCCAAUGGAGUUGCAUCAAUGGAGUUUUCGUUCCCAAAAUCAUCAGAGGACGGAUACAUGGAAUCUUUGGAGCAGAAUGAUCGUCCACUCAGGUAUCAGCUGAUCCGAGUUCCUGCAAACAGCCUCGGCGAAAACAGCAAAUGGCUGGACAUGUUCGAAGACGUCGACUUAGUCAUCUACUGCGUUUCCAUGACCAUAUACGACGAAUACUACCAAGGCAGAAACAAGAUGAUGGAAACCAUGAAACACUUCGAGAGCAUGGUGGCUCAUCCGAGUCUGGCGGACAAAGAUUUCCUCCUGAUCCUGAAUAAAUCGGAUCUUCUGGAGGAGAAGCUCCAGCAAAAUCCUCUAACAGAGUGUGAGUGGUUCGAGGACUUCAAUCCGGUGAUGAGCAUGCAUCCGCAGAGCUCGAAUAACUCGAGCAUGUCGUCGCUGUCUCAGCGCGCGUUCCAUUACAUGGCGGUGAAGUUCAAAAGGCUGUUUGGUAAGCUGAGGGGGCAGAAGCUGUAUGUGGCGAUGGUGACGGGGCUGGAGGGGGAGAGCGUGGAUGGGGCGCUUCGGUAUGGAAGAGAGGUUCUGAAGUGGGGGGAUUAUGAGGGGGAGCAGUAUGAUAAUGAUAAUAAUAAUAAUAGGAAUGGUAUGAAUGAAUCAUCGUCGACGAUGGAGAGCGUGAGCAUGGAGGAUCCCAGCCGAAGCACUACUUGCAGUGGUUGAACUCUCUCUGCCUGCCUCUAACAAAAUAAGAUGAGGACUAAUAUGCAUGGUCAGGAUAAUACAGCUUCAAUCAGUUGGAGCUCUUUGUUUCAUCAGUCAGGCACAGGACCGGUGGGAUUGUGACUGUGAAUUUGUGAUCGCAGCGAGCCUGAGAGAUCUUUAAGAACAAAGCAAGAUUUUCGUUAGAUGAACAGAUAGCUGCAAGGACAUGAAUCCCACUAUAAGACUUCCGAUAAGCACAUGAGAUGCACGAGAAUUCAAUCCUCUGGCCUUCUGGUUCAAGAAAGAACGCAGCGAGCAAAGGCUGGAGCCAACGCCUGUAAUAACAUCUGUGCAGCGUCCCCCAAAACAUCUUUUGGACAUAACAAGCUGAAUUUGUUUCAUGGGGGCACACAUGGAUUUAGGUCCAAAUAACCUGCUCUGCAUAAGCGCCUUUCGCGCAGAACACUCAUCUGUCCAUAUGCAAACCUCAUUUCCCGGAAACUGAUGAGAUGAUUCACAAAGAACUUCCCUUUAUGGAGGGAGAAGCUUCUCCGGGUG
This is an RNA transcript of Andrographis paniculata, 3730 nucleotides long. It is a transcript of the gene named extra-large guanine nucleotide-binding protein 1-like, with no coding region annotated. The record is from RefSeq and is a predicted model, not a curated record. Lineage: Eukaryota; Viridiplantae; Streptophyta; Magnoliopsida; Lamiales; Acanthaceae. The transcript is spliced from 9 exons.